Molecule: long non-coding RNA, 400 nt
Organism: Herpailurus yagouaroundi (jaguarundi)
Lineage: Eukaryota; Metazoa; Chordata; Mammalia; Carnivora; Felidae
Exons: 4
Source: RefSeq, a predicted model, not a curated record
GGUGGCUGAAAGGGAAGGACAACGUGAGAGGCAGGGACGCGCUGGUGACCGUGCGGGGAAGGCGGUCGACCACGCUGGCACAACGCCGUGUGACGGCCAACGGAGGACUUGCGACCAUCUUUAAAGAACGUGCUGCCUGAACACCAGCGAUGAAGCUACUCAUGACUCAUGAGCUUGGAGAGAAAACCUAGAGACAGAGCAGGAGAGCAAGGUCUGAAGUGACCUCGGAGCCACAACCUGGAGCAGCUGGGAAGACAUGACAUUUUCUUAGGGGACACGACAGUCAGAUGUCAGAAACAUCCGAAAUACACCUACAGGUGGAGCCGGGACCCGUCGGAGCUGCAUUGUGGUCGCGGAAGUGCCCGUGACACUUCAUCCACCGGGGCGAUCUUCCCCCCCU